GUCUUUUUCGUCUAGUGGUUAGGACAUGAUCUUUUCAAGGUCAGUAGGCAAGUUCAAAUCUUGCAAGAGAUA
This 72-nucleotide transfer RNA is filed under the name Proteromonas lacertae. Its description in RNAcentral is "tRNA-Glu". It matches the Rfam family "tRNA". From Rfam's summary of the family: Transfer RNA (tRNA) molecules are approximately 80 nucleotides in length. Their secondary structure includes four short double-helical elements and three loops (D, anti-codon, and T loops). Lineage: Eukaryota; Bigyra; Opalinata; Proteromonadidae. The record is from RNAcentral.